RNAcentral lists this ribosomal RNA (145 nucleotides) under Stramenopiles sp. RNAcentral's name for it is "partial small subunit ribosomal RNA". It matches the Rfam family "Eukaryotic small subunit ribosomal RNA", at positions 1296 to 1461 of the family's 1831-position model. The record is from RNAcentral.
AGUUGGUGGAGUGAUUUGUCUGGUUAAUUCCGAUAACGAACGAGACCCCCGCAUAUUAACUAGUUUUACAAUUGCUUGCAAUUUUUGAACUUCUUAGAUGGACUUUUAGUGUUUUAGCUAAAGGAAGUUGGGGGCAAUAACAGGU